AUCGCUUCUUGGCCUUUUGGCUAAGAUCAAGUGUAGUAUCUGUUCUUAUCAGUUUAAUUUUCAAUUUUCAAUUCAAUUUAUUCACAGAGGUGGUAUUUCUCACUACUC
This 108-nucleotide small nuclear RNA is filed under the name Pseudonaja textilis. Its description in RNAcentral is "U2 spliceosomal RNA (ENSPTXG00000008218.1)". It matches the Rfam family "U2 spliceosomal RNA". Rfam says of the family: U2 is a small nuclear RNA (snRNA) component of the spliceosome (involved in pre-mRNA splicing). The record is from Rfam by way of RNAcentral. Lineage: Eukaryota; Metazoa; Chordata; Lepidosauria; Squamata; Elapidae.